Molecule: ribosomal RNA, 431 nt
Filed under: uncultured bacterium
Lineage: Bacteria
Description: partial 16S ribosomal RNA
Rfam family: Bacterial small subunit ribosomal RNA
Source: RNAcentral
AACGAACGCUGGCGGCAGGCUUAACACAUGCAAGUCGAACGCCCCGCCAGGGGAGUGGCAGACGGGUGAGUAACGCGUGGGAACAUACCCUUUCCUGCGGAAUAGCUCCGGGAAACUGGAAUUAAUACCGCAUACGCCCUACGGGGGAAAGAUUUAUCGGGGAAGGAUUGGCCCGCGUUGGAUUAGCUAGUUGGUGGGGUAAAGGCCUACCAAGGCGACGAUCCAUAGCUGGUCUGAGAGGAUGAUCAGCCACAUUGGGACUGAGACACGGCCCAAACUCCUACGGGAGGCAGCAGUGGGGAAUAUUGGACCAUGGGCGCAAGCCUGAUCCAGCCAUGCCGCGUGAGUGAUGAAGUCCUUAGGGUUGUAAAGCUCUUUCACCGAUGAAGAUAAUGACGGUAGUCGGAGAAGAAGCCCCGGCUAACUUCGUG